UACGAAGGGGGCUAGCGUUGUUCGGGAUCACUGGGCGUAAAGCGCACGUAGGCGGAUCUUUAAGUCAGGGGUGAAAUCCCGAGGCUCAACCUCGGAACUGCCUUUGAUACUGGGGAUCUCGAGUCCGGGAGAGGUGAGUGGAACUGCGAGUGUAGAGGUGAAAUUCGUAGAUAUUCGCAAGAACACCGGUGGCGAAGGCGGCCCACUGGUCCGGUACUGACGCUGAGGUGCGAAAGCGUGGGGAGCGAACAGG
Molecule: ribosomal RNA, 253 nt
Filed under: uncultured bacterium
Lineage: Bacteria
Description: partial 16S ribosomal RNA
Rfam family: Bacterial small subunit ribosomal RNA
Source: RNAcentral